This is a long non-coding RNA of Bos taurus (domestic cattle), 5772 nucleotides long. The record is from Ensembl. NCBI's taxonomy places the organism in Eukaryota, Metazoa, Chordata, Mammalia, Artiodactyla, Bovidae.
GGAGGAAAUUCAGAAGAUAGAAAAUGCUCUGGUGUCUUGUAGACAGCUUAUAAGCUCAGUGAGUACAGAGAAAUGCCGCAGGUCAUCGAACAGCUGCUGAAGGUGGAUGGGAGGAGCUCCCGGCCUCCUCUGGGACAAAGUGCAUGAAGUCCAUGCUGGAAUGGCUCGGGAGACGCUGACAGUCCACCCCCAGCACAGAGGGAGCGAGAGAUGUGCUGAGCAAAGACGGGCUGCAGUCGAUCACCUCUCGCGAGAAAGCAAGCUGGAAGGACGGAGUCACCUGUCUGAACACGGAAGCCUUUGAGCGCAAGGCUGAGCUCUGUAAAACCAGGAAGGUCAGAAGAGUGAACAGACUGACCCUAAACCCAGAUCCCAGAACCUGGGGAAACUUACUUAGUUUGGAAAAGACACACUUAGUACUUUCCAAAGAAGCCAUUAAUUUUUCACAGGAAGUAAUUUCAUGGGGCCCCUGAUCAUAUAGUUAACACCAGGGAGGUUUGGAAGGCUUUAGACGUGACUAGUGGCUGAGACACAAAGUCCCGUGGAGGGAAGCAGGGCUUCACCCCCCUGGGGUCAGCCUGAGGAGCCCACGUGCCAUCACCGUGGGGACAGAGUCCUGGGCGGUGGACCUUGGGCUUCUGCGAUGACGACCUCGUGGGGAGAGGCUGCCCGGAAACGGCGAGCGCUGAAGAUGGGCAGCAGAGCUUUGGACAGUGACCGGCGCACCCUGCAGAGAAAACCAUCCCUGCUGUGGAAUCAAUAAUCUCUGCAGACCAGACUCUUGCUUGUUGAUUAGAUGGGAAGUAUCCGCCUGCAGUGCAGGAGACACAGCGUUCCUCGGAUUCCUCAGGACUGAAGGGCUGAAGACCCAGGAGCUGCUCCAAAAGGUUAUCAGCGCUCAGGAGUGUCUUAAGGAUGGAUUGAAACGGACUGCCCUUGGGUCCUGCCACCCGGAUGUGAACCCUGGGUCCACCCCCGGCUGAGACCUCGGCAGAGGGACUCAUGGCUUUGGGGGGCAACAGGGGGAAUGGGACGGGGCUUGUGGAGAUCGGCGAGGGGCUAUUCCGUGCUGGACACAGACAGCAGGUCGCGGGGCCCAUCACAACCCUGGCAACGGUGGGCCAGGUGGUUGUGCUGGCCUGGUGGGCACCAUGACCCAGCAGUCCCUGCGGAGGGGCCCUGGGGGUCCUGAGUAGACAGAGGCGGCCUGGGUCCCAGUAGCAUCACGGGCUCUGGGGCACUGGGGCCAGCCUGGGCCUGGAGCAGAUUUAGCCUGGGUUUAUCAGCCUGAUUUAGUCUGGGACACCUCAGCCUGAUCUCAGCAAGGUGGCUGUGACCAGUGGUGAAGCCAGAUCUUCACUCCCUGCCUGGGUAUUGGACCUGGGAAGCCUGGAAGGGAGCCAAGAAUCCUGGCCACCAGACCAGCAAAGGAUGCAGGCUAGAAGCCGUUUCUCCCUGGAUCUUUGUCCCCGUGAAAAACGCGUUUAUCGUGGAGGAAGAAACUGUAAAUGUAGGCUCAAAGUUCAUUAUUGGAGACACAGCACAAGAGCAAGUGGUGCCGCACACGCAGCGGCAGUGCGCUCGGCCGAGACGGAUGCAGGGCAGACGCGCCAGAGAGCGAGCGCGCGGGCGCCCCCAGGGAGGAGGGUGCAGAGGAGAGGCGGCCAAGGCACUCAGGUUGGUCAGGUCUUCCAGGGCUUUGUCUCCCUUCAGCCAAUUACCGGUUUCUUUUUCCACACCGGACCUACCUGGGGACCCCCCUGGGUGAGCACACCCGCCUCAGCCAAGAUGGAUCUCGGAGUGAAGGCUUCUGGGAAGAGCAAGACCCAUUACGGCCUGGCACUAGCCCUUGACUUUUGACCCACAAGGAGCCUUUCUGCACGUAUGUAGUGUCUCUUUUGUCCCAACAAGGGUGGAGCGGCGAUCCCUUGAGCCUUCACUCACACAGGGCUUUCCCUUCUUUGCCGUCGCCGUGACCACUGCCGUGACCCCUUGAGCCUUCACUCACACAGGGCUUUCCCUUCUUUGCCGUUGCCGUGACCACUGCUGUGACCCCUUGAGCCUUCACUCACACGGGGUUUCGCCCUUCUUUGCCGUCGCCGUGACCACUGCCGUGACCGCCACCGUAACGUGCUCACAGAAGACACACGCUGGCGUUUGCCCUGUUGCUGUUGUGACUUCCGCCUCGGAGGGCGAGCAGGAGGCUGACUGUAAAUGCUUCAGCUGGAGCCCACCUAUCUCUUGUCUCAGAAAACGCUGGUAGCUCUAAGUAUCCAGCCUGAAGCCCACUUGGUGCCCCGACAAAUGCAAACGGGAAUCCAAUCUGGAGCCCAUCUACUCCCUAAGUCAAGCCUAGUGAUGGUGCCUGGGGUGAUGGAAUAGGGCGGAGGGCAAGGGGGACAGGCAGGAGCCACUGUUACCUUCAACCUGACCCGAGACGUGUGUCCGGCCCCCAACCCUGGAGGCAGGUUCCAGGUCUCAAAGACCAGUGGCCAGCACCCCGUGCCGACCUCAGGCCAGACACCGCAGACACGGCCCCAGCUCCCAGGACAGCCUCUCCACUGCACACCUCCACCUUCUUCACGCCUCAUGACGGCUCUUCUUAUACUUGGGGAAUCUCGAAAAAGUUGUUCAAACCUUCUACCAACGGAAUCAACGUAUUCCCAGUCACCCCCAGACAACAGAGUGAACAGUUCACCAGAUGGUGGAUGAACUGGGACGUUCACAUUGGUAAACGCACGGUCAAAUGGGUAGGGAUGAGGGCAGGAUGGAAUUUUGUAUCCAAAAAAGGAUGUUUCAUCCCUGUUCGGAGAAGGCAAUGGCACCCCACUCCAGUACUCUUGCCUGGAAAAUCCCAUUGAUGGAGGAGCCUCGUGGGCUGCAGUCCGUGGGGUCGCAAAGAGUCGGACACCACUGAGCGACUUCACUUUGACUUUUCACUUUCAUGCAUUGGAGAAGGAAAUGGCAACACACUCCAGUGCUCUUGCCUGGAGAAUCCCAGGGAUGGUGGAGCCUGGUGGGCUGCCAUUUAUGGGGUCGCACAGAGUCGGAAAUGACUGAAGUGACUUAGCAGCAGCAGCAGCAGCAAGAUCCCUGUUAUGAAAAGUCAUUUAUUUUCUUUUAAAAGUGUUUUAAAAUUAAUUUAAAAUAUGUUUAAAAUCAAAGAAGCAACAUCCUGGUUGAACAUCAUAUUUAAAAAACGCGAUAUGAUUCAAACACUGUAAAUAUAGAGAAAGAAGAUCAAAGAACACAGGCAAAAACAAUGCUGGAAAACAGGGUGGGUGGAGGAUUUUUGCUUCCCAAGCUGGGCUGAGAAGGAAAGUUAGGACUCAGUCCUGGUGCUGCGUAUAGUAAAGCCAUGUCAGGUGUCAGCCUGUGAAGACCGAGGCCAAGGUUUCAAACGUUCGAGAAGAAGCAUAACAUACUCACAAAACAAGAUAACAGAAAGGACAGCGUCUCAAAAGACUUCUUGACUUCUAAAGUAAUUUAUCCGUCUACUUACAAGGGCUGGAUGACAAGUUCCUGAAAUAUGUGCGUCUUCAAAGCCUAAUUGGAAUUUCUCUCUGUUGAUCUGAUGUCAGAACAGCAAAUCAUUAUGUCUUGAAAAAGAAAAGUGAAUAUUAAUUGAAAAGUUCAUUGGAAUUUGAAAGACUGUUCACUAGUUUUAGUCAAUCAAUCACUAACAAUAUAAUGAUGGAGUUGUGUACCGAAAGCUCGGUAAUCACAAAGCUUUCCUUGGAGGUGGCUUGAAUGCGUUUUUCCGACCGUGUCGAGUGUGACAUGAAAGACAGAAAAUGAGAGAAUUUUAAAUCUGGCCCAGGUCAAGGGGAAGGUAGAGCAACCUCGUCACAUGGCGAUGAAGGGAAGUUGAGUAGCCAGGCGUGGAAACCGUCUCCCACAGGACUCAGCCUCAGAUAAGGGAAAAUGAGGCAGCGGCAUAUGGCCACAGAACUCACCGUCUCCUCGCAACAUCCAUCACCCUGAAGCACUGGGCCAACAUAAACUCUGGACUUCAUUAAUCGCUUCAUUAAUUGUGCCCUGCCCUAAUGCAGGCAGAUAGGGCUUCUUUGAUGAUGCAGUGGAUAAGAAUCCACCUGCCAAUGCAGGGGACGUGGCUUUGAUCCACAGUCUGGGAAGAUGCCACACGCCUUGGAAGGACCACAGCCUUGUGUGACAAGCGCUGCGGCAGCCCUGCUCUGGAGCCCGCCUGCCGCGACUCCCGAGCCCGUGUGCCGUAGCCACUGAGGUCUUUGCCCCGGAGCCUAUGCUCCGCAGCCCUGCUCUGGAGCCCGCCUGCCGCGACUCCCGAGCCCGUGUGCCGUAGCCACUGAGGUCUUUGCCCCGGAGCCUAUGCUCCGCAGCCCUGCUCUGGAGCCCACCUGCCGCGACUCCCGAGCCCGUGUGCCGUAGCCACUGAGGUCUUUGCCCCGGAGCCUGUGCUCCGCGGCAAGGGAAGGCCCUGCAGUGAGGAGCGGCCCCAUCCACCGCAAUGAGAGAGGAGCCCACACAGAGCAACAGGGAUCCAGCACAGCCCCAAAUGACCAAAUUAAAAAGGAACUCACAGCCUCGUGGGAAUGUCAAAGGGCCCAGGAGUCGCCUGAGAGGGCUCCCGGGACCAAGGCUGAAACAGUCCGAGCAAGAAGAUGGGUGGUGCGUGAUCGGAUGCUGAGCACCCACAAGCGCAUACCGACGUAAGUGCAUCGUUGAAUGAACAAACAAGUGGGGGAGAAUAAACUAAUCUCCACGCAGAAGAAACUUAAAGAAUCUGCGUGAAUAUUUCAUGCUGAGGGGAGGGGACCACAGCGCCCUCCUCCCUGCGGCCGGGCUACACGGUGACGGCCUCCCAAAGAGCAAGAAAGAGAGAAGCAACCAACGCCGCCGAGGGCGGCCGACCGAAGUCCACAGCAGCAGGGGGACGCCCCGAUGAACUGCAGCCUUCACAGGCUGCAGUUAGGACUGUGCCUGGCCUCUGUGGACUCAGCGCAUUUAUGUUUAAGCCAUUUGUGACCAAUUUUGGUUUCAACAUACCUUCUUAAAACGUUUCCUCAUUCCUCCUGUUCUGUGUUCACUUUUCUUUCUUAUUUUUAACGGAUGAUUUUAUUUUUUUUUCUGUUCUAUAUUCUACUGUGCUGCUGCUAAGUCACUUCAGUCGUGUCCGACUCUGUGUGACCCCAUAGACGGCAGCCCACCAGGCUCCCCCGUCCCUGGGAUUCUCCAGGCAAGAACACUGGAGUGGGUUGCCAUUUCCUUCUCCAAUGCAUGAAAGUGAAAAGUGAAAGGGAAGUCGCUCAGUUGUGUCCGACUCUUAGCGACCCUAUGGACUACAGCCUACCAGGCUCCUCCAUCCAUGGGAUUUUCCAGGCAAGAAUACUGGAGUGGGGUGCCAUUGCCUUCUCCGAUAUUCUACUGUAUCACCUGUCUAGAGCGAGGGAAAGAGCUUGAGUUAUUUUAAGGGACUGGCUCGCAUGAGUGUGGGGCUGGCAAGUCCACAGUCUGCAGGGUGGGCUGCAGGCUGGGAAACCAGAGAAGAGUUGGUGUUGCAGCUGGAGUCUGAAGGCUGCCUGCUGGCAGACUCCCACCUCCAGGAGGGUCAGACUUUUGGUCUACUCAGGCCUUCAACUGAUCAGAUGCGGCCCAUCCAUACCAUUUACUCAGAGGCCACUAUUUCCAUGUAAAUCUCAUCCCCCAAACCCUCUCUCAGAAACACCUAGAACAGUGUUUGACCACACAUCUGGGCACCACGGCCCAGUCAAGGUGACACGAAACCCACCC